CCCGGAUCGACGCCUCCAAAGACAGACGAUGCUGCGGGCAGGGUGGCUCCGGGCUCGGUCGCGCGGUCCUGGGACUCCGUCUCCCGCCAGCGCCGAGUAGGAGGCGGACACCCGCGCCCCCGGGAGCCGCGCAGGGCGGCGUGGGACGGCCACCUGGAGCGCAGCUGCCAGAUCUGAACAGUGAUGGCACAUAUUCCACAUAGGAAUUGUUCAGUGGACUGUGGAUUGGUCAAACUAUAUCCCAUCAUGAUGCAUACAACCAAGGCUCUUCACUACACCUGUUUUCUGACUAGAGGCCAAAUAAAUGACAUUGAGAAUUUCUGCUAAGGUAAUAUAAG
Molecule: long non-coding RNA, 338 nt
Organism: Sorex fumeus (smoky shrew)
Lineage: Eukaryota; Metazoa; Chordata; Mammalia; Eulipotyphla; Soricidae
Exons: 3
Source: RefSeq, a predicted model, not a curated record